RNAcentral lists this long non-coding RNA (1673 nucleotides) under Androctonus crassicauda. The record is from RNAcentral. Lineage: Eukaryota; Metazoa; Arthropoda; Arachnida; Scorpiones; Buthidae.
AUUUAAAAGCCAGAUCGAGAUUUAACGUUUUUCAUGCUAAAAUAUUUAUACAGAAAUAUGCGUAUUAAAAGUUACCAUGAAGAUUCGAAAUCAAAAUGUAUCGCUCUAGUUAAAUGUAAUAAAAUAAACGCAUUAGAAGUUUUUGUCUUCUGCAUUUGUCAUAAAAAUAGUUUUUAGUAAUCAUUAAAAUAAGAGAUUCAUAAUAUAUUUUCUUAUAUGGAAUGCGUUAAUUGAUGAACAGUAGAAAAAGUAACCUUGUGAGAGGAAUAGGCAGAGACCGAUAGUUUAGAGAGCACAUUCAGUUUGCUCAGAGUUAAUUCAAGGGAUUUGUGAAGAGCCACCAUCGUCCGGAAGGAAAAGUGACAGGAGGACGCGAAAGGACGAACGGCCCCGGGGUCAAGCGGAAUUGUCACGGCUCAGACGGUUAUUUGAUCACAAAUGACGUCAGAGCGUCGGACGCAGUUUAUUCCCAUUAGCCGCUUAGUCGCUCCGUAUUACAGCACGUCAAACUCUAAUGGAAAAAGAUGGCGUCAUUUGUUUCGUUAUCCAAAGAAACAGAUUAAGUCGACUAACCCGAUGAUUCACUCGCCAUUUCCGCUACAGAUUCUGUUAAUCGCCCAGUCGGACGCCAUCUUGUCUUUCUUUGUUGGCUGUUUACUCCCUUAGAGCAUUUGAGGUAAACAGACUGGUAUCCCACUAAUUUUCUCCCCAUUGUUGACCUGGAGAAAAGGCGUCCAACAUGUAGUGCCCCGGACUUUUUCCUUAGGGAGAAUCCCUUUAAUAGCGCAUUGGCUUCUCCCUAAUUGCAAUCGUUGCGCAGAGGAAUGCAUCACAAUGCUCCUUUCUAAUCAGUACUUGUUCGAGUUCGAAUGCCGAUGCAAAUUGAGCCUUUCUCAGAGGAGUCGGAUGGAACUUGUUUUGGAAUUCCGAAACUGAGAACAUCAUUCGGGAUGUGGAUUCUUAUAGAAAGGACAAUUCGAUAGCUUCAACAGAUUUCUGAAUUAAACCAUCGAGAAGAAUCUACUGUUCUCUUUAGAUUCUGUUAAAUAAGCAUCUAAGAAGUGUGGUAGUCAUAAAUCUAUGAAACUGAUCCUUCCAGUCACUUAGAUAAUUCAGAAUUCAAAAUUUAGUGCAAAAUAAGGAAAUUUCUAUAUAGAAUAUGGCCAGAUUAGGUUAUUAAAUUUUUGGGCAACGAAGCCUUGGUAUUGUUGGCAGUGGUACGAAAGAGAAAGCGAACAUUCAUCUCUAGAUAGAAAACAGGCUGUCAGGAGAAGGAGAAAUAAAAGCGGCAGAAAUGGGAGAAACCUUAUUUACAAAAUAACACGUCCGUGCGCGGCGGUGGGCCCUUGGAACUUUACGGCACUGCACAUCCAAUAUAGUCCCGGUGGAGUGCAGAAAUAUGUCGAGGCGAUGGACCGGCCUGCAACCCGCCGAGACAUAAAGUAUUUAUUGGUGGGGACAUCGUCCACGAAACUCUAUCCACCGUCAUCCGCUAAUAACGAUUUACUAGGCGCAUCUCGGGACAAUUACGCGGACGUGUCUGGCCUCGAUGAUAUAGUGCUGCAGGUAACGUCCGCUACUUCUAAAUCACUUAGCCUCUCCCUCUUUCUCUCUUGCAGGUUCUUCUAUUUGUACUUGUACGCCUUCUACGCUUACGACUGCAGGUUCAACGG